RNAcentral lists this ribosomal RNA (452 nucleotides) under uncultured bacterium. Its description in RNAcentral is "bacterial SSU rRNA". It matches the Rfam family "Bacterial small subunit ribosomal RNA", at positions 62 to 509 of the family's 1533-position model. The record is from RNAcentral.
UCGGGCGGUAGAGAGAAGCUUGCUUCUCUUGAGAGCGGCGGACGGGUGAGUAAUGCCUAGGAAUCUGCCUGGUAGUGGGGGAUAACGUUCGGAAACGGACGCUAAUACCGCAUACGUCCCACGGGAGAAAGCAGGGGACCUUCGGGCCUUGCGCUAUCAGAUGAGCCUAGGUCGGAUUAGCUAGUUGAUGGGGUAAUGGCUCACCAAGGCGACGAUCCGUAACUGGUCUGAGAGGAUGAUCAGUCACACUGGAACUGAGACACGGUCCAGACUCCUACGGGAGGCAGCAGUGGGGAAUAUUGGACAAUGGGCGAAAGCCUGAUCCAGCCAUGCCGCGUGUGUGAAGAAGGUCUUCGGAUUGUAAAGCACUUUAAGUUGGGAGGAAGGGUUGUAGAUUAAUACUCUGCAAUUUUGACGUUACCGACAGAAUAAGCACCGGCUAACUCUGUGCC